CCCUUAGAUGUUCUGGGCCGCACGCGCGCUACACUGACGAUGGCAACGAGUUUUUCCUUCGCCGAAAGGUGUGGGUAAUCUUUUGAAACAUCGUCGUGCUGGGGAUAGAUCAUUGCAAUUUUUGAUCUUGAACGAGGAAUUCCUAGUAAGCGCGAGUCAUCAGCUCGCGUUGAUUACGUCCCUGCCCUUUGUACACACCGCCCGUCGCUACUACCGAUUGAAUGGUUUAGUGAGGACUCCUGAUUGGGGCCGCCGCCCCGGCAACGGAGCAGCGGACUGCCGAAAAGUUGUUCAAACUUGAUCAUUUAGAGGAAGUAAAAGUCGUAACA
This 329-nucleotide ribosomal RNA is filed under the name uncultured eukaryote. Its description in RNAcentral is "partial 18S ribosomal RNA". It matches the Rfam family "Eukaryotic small subunit ribosomal RNA", at positions 1470 to 1796 of the family's 1831-position model. The record is from RNAcentral.